This 309-nucleotide unclassified non-coding RNA is filed under the name plant metagenome. RNAcentral describes it as "partial contains 5.8S ribosomal RNA, internal transcribed spacer 2, and large subunit ribosomal RNA". The stretch from base 1 to 105 matches the Rfam family "5.8S ribosomal RNA", at positions 50 to 154 of the family's 154-position model. The record is from RNAcentral.
GAAAUGCGAUAAGUAGUGUGAAUUGCAGAAUUCAGUGAAUCAUCGAAUCUUUGAACGCACAUUGCGCCCCUUGGUAUUCCAUGGGGCAUGCCUGUUCGAGCGUCAUUUGUACCCUCAAGCUCUGCUUGGUGUUGGGUGUUUGUCCCGUCUCCGCGCGUGGACUCGCCCCAAAGUGAUUGGCAGCCGGCGUACUGGUCCCGGAGCGCAGCACAUGUCGCGCAAACGAGUGCCUAGGUACGGCGGCGUCCAUAAGCCCCUCUCUCACGCUCUUGACCUCGGAUCAGGUAGGGAUACCCGCUGAACUUAAGC